GUGAGCUAGGCUGAUGCCAUGGCACUCCAGCCUGGACAACAGAGGGAAACUCUGUCUCAAAAAAAAAAGAACAUCUCUCUCAUCUUGUAGAGAUACUAAAUGAUUAGGCUUAUUUGGUAAAUUGUGUGGGAAACACUGUCAAAUGGUAAGUGAUGCUAAAUCUUUCAAUUAAUUUGUGAGUGCGUUAUUGAUACAAAUGUUUCAAAAAUUAUAUAAAUUUAUAACUAUGUGAUGUUACCAGUCAUCACCUUGGUUGUUAUGUUAAGUCUUCUUUAAAGUUAUGUUCAUAUGGAUAUGUUGUUGAUAUGAAUAUUCUAAAGAUGACAUGAAAUUUAUAAAUCUGAUGGUCCUGGUGUGAUGCUGUCAGUCAUGAUUCUGGUUGUUAUCUUAAAAUGCUGUGUGUAGUAGAAGUAACUCAAUUUCCUUGUCAAUUAUGAACAAUUACCAGAUUUUUAACCAUGGCCAUUCUGAGUUUUUAUCAUCCACUGUUACUGUUUUGAUUUCUUCUCUAAAACCAUUUGUAAGUAUCUAUAGUCCAAAAUUGUUUUUCAUGGAAAAGACUUCCACAAGUAUUCUUGAACACACAGAAUUUCUAAUAACUUUAAGAUCAAGGGAAUAAAUAAAAAUUUCCAGACCUCCGAUAAAGAAGCUGAUGAGUUCAUGAAACUGCUAAUCAAGAUCAAGAAGAACAAAAAAUAAUUACAUGGGAUUAAGUAACUGAUGAAGAUAAUGCUUUUAUUACUUUUAUUUGAAACAUUGUUGGUUCUUUAUGUAAAUGUUUUGUUUUCCAGAUUUAAGAAAGCUAUCUCUAGUUUACAACAAUUUGGUAAAUUAUACUUUCGUGAACAAAGGUGGAAACAUUUGCUUUUUCUCCCUAUUUGAUUCCUGCAAAAUUUGGAAACUAUUUAAGUAUAACUCCUAACAGAACAAUGCUGGCCCAGCACUUUGAGAUGAUAGCAAAAGACUAUGAAACAGGCAAAAUUGAACUUAAUACUGGACUCCAGGUAGACUUAGCCUGAGAGCUGCUCCUUUCAAAUCUCUCUUGUUGCUUGAAUGUGGCUAAAAGGGCUUUGACACUGACUCCUUAGUUGCCCAUCACUCGCCCAAUGUGGGAUGCAACCAGGAACCGGGACAGGUCCAUCCUGGCAUCAAGGGACAAUCAAAACCCAACUACAGGUUGAUUAAUCAGUGAUGCUUUCAGAGAAAGAUCUUGAUCAAAAGGGGGAAAUGGGAACGUUGUCAGAAUCAAAAUGGAGUCACUUAUGUUAAAAAGCAAAAUAAAUGGACCAAUAGAACCAGAGAAGGCUGCGAAUAAAGGGUUCUCAUGGAUGAGACUGCAAAAACCACAACCUAGCACAAAGAUCAUUGAAACCUUGCACAGAAACACACACACACACACACACACACACACACACACCUCUGAUGACGUCUGCCCAGCAACUGCAUGUCCCAACCUUGGAAUAGCAUCACCCUUGUUAUUGGUCUUGUUAGCCAGGGAUAAUUAUCUUAAAACAAUUAUAUAGUCCUCCUUAUUUUUCCUUUAAAAACCUUUGUCUCCCUUUACCACCCUGAAUACACAUGUAAUCUACUAUGGCAUGCAUAUUCACAUUGCAAUGCCCUAUUCCUGAAUAAAUAUCGUUUUCUUUGA
This is a non-coding RNA of Microcebus murinus (gray mouse lemur), 1648 nucleotides long. Lineage: Eukaryota; Metazoa; Chordata; Mammalia; Primates; Cheirogaleidae. The record is from RefSeq and is a predicted model, not a curated record.